UACGGGGGGGGCAAGCGUUGUUCGGAAUUACUGGGCGUAAAGGGCUCGUAGGCGGCCAACUAAGUCGGAUGUGAAAUCCCUCGGCUUAACCGGGGAACUGCGUCCGAUACUGGUUGGCUUGAGUUUGGGAGAGGGAUGCGGAAUUCCAGGUGUAGCGGUGAAAUGCGUAGAUAUCUGGAGGAACACCGGUGGCGAAGGCGGCAUCCUGGACCAAUACUGACGCUGAGGAGCGAAAGCCAGGGGAGCAAACGGG
RNAcentral lists this ribosomal RNA (253 nucleotides) under uncultured bacterium. RNAcentral's name for it is "partial 16S ribosomal RNA". It matches the Rfam family "Bacterial small subunit ribosomal RNA", at positions 524 to 776 of the family's 1533-position model. The record is from RNAcentral.